Molecule: long non-coding RNA, 3249 nt
Organism: Ooceraea biroi (clonal raider ant)
Lineage: Eukaryota; Metazoa; Arthropoda; Insecta; Hymenoptera; Formicidae
Source: RefSeq, a predicted model, not a curated record
CUUUAAAAAAAAUUAGAAAAAUAAAAUUACUUAUUUCCGUAUAUACUUAAUAUUUAUGCAAAUAUUACAUACAUGUACAGUUGUACUGAUUUAUACCUAUACACUAACAUCUGUACAAGUGUUCCAGCAUAUUGAGCAUCGAAAAACAGAUCAAAGACUGUUUAUAAAUGAUGGUCGCAAUCGUAUUUCUCGAGUCAGUUAUCGCUAUUUGCGCUGCGAUUAUUCACCUGGCGACAACAAAGGAACGCCUUGUCAUCACUCAUGGCGAAGACGCGGUCGACAAUUUGUGAGAGUAGAGAUACGUGCUGUGUCACCGUGUAUGAAGUGAGCAAUGUGACAGAUUGCACGACGGAUUUGCACAAGUAUGAGACGUAUCUUCGAUUUAAUAAAAACGCACGUGAUACGAGUCUGAGAUUGUGCGAUGUUCACUACGACACACCGUGGGUGGUACGACAGUGGGACUAAAGCGCCGUCUGAGCGGACAAAAUCUCAAAAAGGAGAAUGGCUUGUAGCCAGAGUUUCUAAUUGUUGUAUUAUUAUGUAGAAAUGUCCAAAAUUUACGAAAACAUAUAUCAUUCCACGAAUCAUCGUCAGAAUAAUGAGAAAAUCAGGCGUAAAUUUUUUAGUUGUGAGAGAUUCGGAACACUUCGGAACUCGCGGAUGGAACGAGCGGAAAGCUGGAACGGACGAGCAUAUGGAACGAGCGAGAAGCUGAUACGGACGAGCUUCUGGCCACGAGCGAGAAGCUCGUACGGACGAGCUUCUGGCCACGAGCAAGAAGCUCGUACGGAUGAGCUUCUGGCUAACGAACGCAUACGUUGGUACGGACGAGCUUCUAGCCACGAGCGAGAAUCAGUUACGCCAAUAGUUUAUGUUAAACACAUAUAUGAAUUCAUCGUUCGCAAAAGGUGUUAGCGCGACGCUCGCUUUUCAGACACCAAUCAAUGGUGAUCUUUAGCAGUGGCCCGAGUAUUAACUAGCUAGCAGAUGAGCACAACAAGAAGUAGCGAUGUGUCGACUUGCGUCAUUCGCGAAUAAACGAUAGAGACGGUUAGUAACAUGAAGAACGUAACGCAACUUUUCCCAAAAGAAAUCCACUCGUGAUAUAAAAAAUUUAGAAAUUAUGAAUGAAAAAAAUUGAUUGAUUUUGAAGAUUAUUUAUACAAUGAUAUAUUUUUUCCGUAUUACGUAAUACAAACAAAGCACAUUGAAUUUUUAAUAUCUCUAUGUUGACAAAAAAUUGAUCAUACUUAUAUAAUUGUGCUCAUGCAAUUUAUGGUAAUUGAAUAAAAUCUUUAGUUUUAAAUUCACGUGAAUUAAACAUCGCAUUAAAUGAGCUUUAAAUAACUUCAAAAUUCGUAAAAUUCAUGAUUUUUUUAAAUAAGAUCUUUGUGAAUUUACUCAUUUUCCCUAGUUUACGUACUUUUAUAAAUCUCGAUUCUCAUUGUUGUUAUCUUAUUGCAACCCUCUAUUUCGUGACCUUUUAACGUUCGCGAGAAAAAUGACUCGUACGCGAAAACGCAUGUGCGUACAGACGAUGACGGCGCGAAGUUUGAGAUCAGAAUGCGUUUUGCGUUAAACUUUUGCGUAGUAUGUAUUUCUACAUGUUCUUCAUAAAAUCUCACAUUUGCUUUUUACUUUUGCAGCAUGCGUGCCAAAGUAAAAGCACUACAAACAACUAUAAUAUUAUGCAAUCUUGAGUUAUAAUAUAUUAAACUAUAACAUAUUAAAGAAUUCUGAAUUAUUAUAUUAUCGCAAUUUCUUUAUCUUAUAGCCGACCCGGAUUAUGUUUUUUUACAUUAUAGAAAUAGAAUUCUUAUUUCUUUUAUAAAAACGUUUCGUGUUAAUUUAGUUAUGCGCAAAUACUGCAAAUAUAGCUCUUUUAAUUAUGAUAUAUGCCAAAUCAAUAAUCAUAGAAAGGAAAAAUAAAUAAAAAUAAUUUCGCUGACAUGGACGUCAGCGAUCGAUAGAAGUCGCUGUAGUUUUAGUGAAAAAGAGGGUUUUAUCAUAUCGCGAAAAAACCUGUUGCUUUAGCGGCCACGUUGCGUCGCAUCUCAUUCGCCGCGCCGUCGCCACCGGCAUGGAAAAAGAUUUGUUUGCCAAGUUCGUUAGGGGAGCAGGUCACGAAACUAAAUACGAGGAACGGACCAGCCGAGCACAUGUGACUGAUACAUAGAGCAACACAGUUGCUGUUGAAUUCGUAGAAAGCAAAUGCGUUACGUCGCUUUUAUCCACGCUCACGCUUGUCGAGAUGUUUUGCAACGGGCAACGCGCGCUGCCCGUCAUCGAACGUGAGCAUACAUCGAUAUCUGGACAGAUAUCUACUAACGUCAUGUUAAUAAUGAUACAUCAAUGAAGACGGCAUAACACAUACAAGAGAAAACAAUCACUUUAAACCGUCUUGGAUGGUUAUUUCUUUUAAUUUUUCUUUUCCUCUUUUCGGAGUGAAACCAAACGCGACUGCUGUCGGCGACUGCUCGCGCGCGCGCGCAGACGUCAGCUGUGGAUUUUCGAUAUCUCGUGUGUGUGUGUACGUGUGACUGUGUGUGUAUGCUCGAUAAGCACGUUAUCACAAGGGUGCGCACUUACCGUGAACGGUUAAUUCCGCUCGCACAACGGACGAUGGCACUCGGCGAGGACGACAUAACCCACGCAAUGCGCUGCAUCGGCCAUAUUGUUUACUGGAAAGGAGGUUCGGCAUCGGCACAGCCGUCCGUGCUUGCAUCCCGCAUCAGACAAAUGAGUGAACAUGGCGCCAUCGUGUCUACAACGAGAGAAACAAGUACGCUUGAGUUGAGUGUCGACUUGCCGAGGACGUCGAGUAAUGUGAGUGAUAUAACCUAACGAGUAAUGUAACAAAUUAUUUACUGACAAAAAAACCAUAAACCAAGUUUAUGGAGGGUGUUGUGCCGUAGCGCCCGUAGCUGUGAAGUUUACGUCUACGUGAAUAAUUUACGUACAGUCUACGUAAUAUUUAUUAUACAAGAAGAACUCAGAGAAUUUUGGCCGCCCGAAAUGCGUAACUGCUUGCAAACCAGUGAACAAAGACUUGUUUGAAAUCUUUUGAAAGUGGCGUUCGCAGAUGUACUGAAGAUAAUAUUUGCAGUUCAACCCGAAGGUUUAUAUACUCCAUCCUCGUAAGCCGCCGGCGAUCUUCUCAGUAACGGAGUGUCAACUGCACCGAGUUCUGGCUUAGCAACAUUGUUGUUCCAUCCGUCAUAACCAGGAUACUCGGACGCAGUGCGAUAU